CCACAUUUGGCUUGUAGACAUUCUCAACUAGCUACUGAUGUUGUUUUCUUUGUGUAAUUGGAUAAUUUUUCUUCCUUCUGCCCAUACAGAGUGUAAGCUGUCCCGCCCAGGCCCUCCUGCAACCAUAGUAACCAUUGAUGAAGAGAGUCCCAAUGGUACCGUCUUGGUGGAAAACAUGCAGAUAAACGGCCGUGCGCAGGAUCCAGGUCGAACCAUUUCGCUGACUCUGCUGGACAACUACGACUAUUGGGUGAUUUUGGAACCGGCCCAGCAGCGGCUGUAUCUCAACAGCACAGGACGCGUUCUGGACAGAGACCCCCCAAACUACAUCAUGACCAUAGUGGUGCAAGUCCAGUGCACCAACGAGCUGGUUGGUACUGUUAUUUUCCACGAGGUGCGGAUCGUCGUGAGGGACAGGAACGACAACAUCCCCCGCUUUCAGCAGCCGCGUUACUAUGUUGCCGUCAAUGAGCUCACGCCAGUCGGAACAACGAUUUUCACUGGAUUCUCAGGGAAUAAUGGCGCCACCGAUAUCGACGAUGGACCUAAUGGACACAUAGAAUACAGCGUCCUUUACAACCCCAAUGACCCGGAGUCCAACAAGACAGUAAGCGUUGGAAACACGCUUUCAGGGCACAUUAUCCUGGCAGAGAGGCUAAACUACGAGGAGAGGACACGUUACCUGGUUGUUGUCCAAGCUAAUGACCGAGCACCUUACCCACCCAACAGGCGAACGGCUACAACCACCCUGACCGUGGACGUUCUGGAUGGAGACGACCUGGGCCCCAUGUUCCUGCCGUGUGUGUUAGUGAACAACACGCGUGACUGCAACCCGCUCUCCUACCGCGCUGCUAUCCCUGAAUUCACUGAACCGAGCAAAUUGAACCCACUGAACGUGACCCCCCCGAUUCGUGCCGUGGACAUGGACAGGAACAUCCAGCCUCCAUCCAACAGACCCGGAAUUCUGUACUACAUCCUGGUUGGUCACCCAGCCACAUUUGCAGAGUAUUUCUCCCUGAACAAAACCACAGCGGAGCUGCGCGUUCUGCAACCAAUCAACAGAGACUUAUAUCAGAGGUUCACCCUCAUCAUCAAGGCUGAGCAGGACAACGGACACCCCCUCCCGGCCUACGCCGACCUCAUCAUCGAGAUCCUGGAUGAGAACAACCAGGCGCCGUACUUCCAGCUCGCCACCUAUCAGGGAUACGUGAGUGAGUCUUCGCCGGUGGGUACAACCAUCUCAGGCAGCUCAAACCUGACGACGCCCCUGGAAAUCAUCGCACUGGACAAUGACAUCGAGGAGACAAAAGACCCGUUGGUGAAGAUUUCCCUCGACAACUACGCCACGAUAUUUGGUGUGACUCCGACUGGCAUAGUGCGCUACCUGAGACUGGUUACACCUGUGGACCGGGAGAAGCAGAUGGCUUACACGUUCACGAUGGUGGCAUCGGAUGGUGUCCAGCAGAGCACCCCAGUGACUGUCAACAUCCUGGUCAUCGACGCCAAUGACAACACGCCCACAUUCGCCAAGGCCUCCUACAAUGUUGAAGUCUUCACCGACAUGCAGCCGGGGGAAACCGUUCUCCAGUUAACUGCAGCGGAUGCUGAUGAAGGAUUGAACGGCCUGGUGACGUAUGAGAUAUUGGCCGGGGCCCAGGGACACUUCAUCAUUAAUAAUCGCACAGGUCGCCUCACCGUGGCGCCAGGCGUGGCUUUAACUGUGGGACAGUCUUAUGCACUGACUGUCAAGGCCUCAGACGGGGCUCCAGAAACACAGCGAAGGAGCUCCAUCACCACCGUCUACAUUGAGGUUUUGCCACCCAAUAACCAGAGCCCGCCGCGCUUCCCCCUCCUCACCUACAGCCUGGAGGUCAGCGAGGCCAUGAGGAUCGGAGCGAUCCUGCUCAAUCUGCAGGCCACAGACAGAGAAAAUGACCCCAUCACUUACCGCAUUGUGAGCGGAGAUUCCCAGAAGGUGUUCAACCUCUCUGAAACGAUCGGGCUGUUACUUCUGGGGAAGCCUCUGGACAGAGAGAGCACAGAUCAGUACCGCCUGAUCGUCACAGCCUCCGAUGGGAACCCUGGAGGGACUUCCACCACCACGGUCGACAUUGUCGUCACAGAUGUCAACGACAACGAUCCCAAAUUUGACUUCGCCAUACCUGUUAACUUCACCGUCCGAGAAGAAGAGGCCGACCUUUUUGUGGGCCUUGUGAGGGCUACAGAUCCAGAUGCGGGGGCUAACGGCCAGGUGGGCUACCGGAUCAUAAAUCACCCCGACUUGUUUGUGAUCAGUGCCAAUGGCAGCAUCUACACGAAGGUGCCUCUGGACCGGGAGCUCCGGAGCCAGUAUGAUCUUGUUGUGGAGGCGUCGGACGGGGCUGUGGAUCCACGGCGGACCACCUUGACCCUCUCCAUCCAGGUCACAGAUAUUGAUGACAGCAGUCCGGUUUUCUCCCAGCAAAAUUACGUGGUGAAUGUUCCAGAAAACACGCCUGUGGGGACCGUCGUAUUGAAGCUAAGCGCAACAGACUCGGACCUCUUCUCCAAUGUCACCUACCGGAUCAGGACUGAGGCAGCCCGACAGCUGUUUUCUCUGAACCCUAUUACAGGGGAGCUGGCUGUGCUGCAGACGCUGGAUUUUGAGGACCUGGCAGCUUUGGGCAUUGGGACCUCUUAUGCUUUCCAGGUAGAGGCUAUAGACCAAGGAGGGAUCAUGCCCCCGGGGCAGGCAACUGUCACAGUCCGCAUCACGGUAGGAGACAUGAAUGACUUCUCACCCGUGUUUAGCCAAGACCUGUACAAAGGCAUGGUGGCACCCAAUGCAGAGAAAGGAACGGUGAUAACAACGGUGUUAGCGGAGGAUCGGGACCCUCCGGAUACCCCAGCCAGCUUUGUCCGCUACCGAGUUGACCUGGACAGGUCUCCCUACAGCGGCAGCAUCUUUGACGUGGAGGAGGAAACGGGAAGAAUCGUCACUAAGGUCAACCUCAACGAAGAACCCAGCGUCACCUUUAAGUUGUUUAUCAUCGCCUUUGACGACGGCGAACCGGUGAAGACCAACAGCACUCUGGUGGAGAUCACUGUCCUCCAGCCCUCUCGGAUCCCCAUCUUCACCCAGGAGGAGUACAGGUUUCCUCCAGUAAGCGAGCUGGCUCCAUUCGGCACCCCGGUGGGGACGGUUCUGGCUGCUGCUGUCAAUCAAAGCAUCUUCUACUCCAUCGUAGGAGGCAAUGAUUUAGGUCAUUUUCAGAUCAACAACAAGACAGGCGUCAUCUCCACAGCCAAACCUCUGGACUACGAAAAUGUGACAAGCUACGUCCUGCGGGUGCAGGCGGACUCCAUGGAGGUCGUCAUGUCCAACCUGCGCGUUCCCUCUAAAACUAACACAGCCAAGGUGUUCAUCGAAGUGCAGGAUGAGAAUGACCACCCACCCGUCUUCUCCAGGAAGCUCUACAUCGGCGGCGUGACAGAGGACACCAAGAUCUUCAGCUCCGUGCUCAAGAUAGUGGCCACUGACAAGGACACCGGGAAUUACAGCGAGAUGGCGUACCGCCUGAUUAUUCCGCCCACCCAAGAGGGCCAGGACAGCUUCGUCAUCGAGACCUACACAGGCAUCAUCAAGUCGGCCAUCAUGUUUCGGAACAUGCGCAGGUCCUACUUCAAGUUUCAAGUCAUUGCCACCGACGACUACGGAGCAGGGCUCAGCAGCAGUGCUGAAGUGGUGGUUUCUGUGGUCAACGCCUUGGACAUGCAAGUUGUUGUGUCCACCGUGCCGCCCACUUUAGUGGAGGAGAAGAAGGACGAGCUCAUUAGUAUUUUGGAGCGCCACGUCCAGGACCAGAUUCCGGGUGCCAAGGUGAUAGUAGAGUCCAUCGGCCCCCGUCGUCAUGGCGAUGGCUUUGAGCUAGAGGACUACACUAAAUCCGACCUGAUGGUCUACGCCAUUGACCCCCUCACAAACAGGGCCAUCUCUCCCAAGGAGCUCUUCAAAUUCCUCGAUGGCAACGUCCUGGAAAUCAAUAAGGAGUUCCAGCCGUAUCUGGGGGAAGGCGGCCGCAUCCUGGAGAUCCGCUCCCCCGACAUCGUGGCCAGCGUGAAGAAGGCCGCCCAGGCCGUGGGCUACACGGAGGGGGCGCUCCUGGCCCUGGCCAUCAUCAUCAUCCUCUGCUGCAUCCCCGCCAUCCUCAUCGUCAUGGUCACCUACAAACAGCGACAGGCAGAGUGUGCCAAAACUGCCCGGAUUCAGAUGGCUUUACCACCAGGAGGGAAAGCACCUGCAGCCGCUGCCCCCACCGCAAACCUGUAUGAGGAGCUGGGCGACGGUAGCAUGGCUAAAAAGUCUGUCAUUGAAGAGGCAGAGCGCCAACGGCUCCUUAGCACAUUCGCCUGUCGCGCCAUCACAGCCCGCAGCAACGGAGCGCUGCAGGUUAAUUUGCCCAGGUCGGAAAGCAACGUGACGUUCCUUUCCGACUGCAACCCACUCACCACUCGCAACCCCCUCUAUGAUGACAGCAGUCCCAGCAGUCCUGAUGUCUUUGCACAGAGGCGCGGCUUGCCUGAAAAGCGAUGGACCGCCUCCCCUUCCUAUUCACCCGGGUCGGGGGGGUUCAGAUCAGUGCCUGCUCGCAUUCACAGUGGACUGCCGGGUUGCGAGGGGCCAAGGAGGCAAGCUCUUAUGGACCCAGACGAUUGGGAGGCAUCAGAAGCCAGGAAAAGGCUGCAGAGUUUCAAUACACUUCAGCUAGGAGACAACACAGACACCAAGCUGUCCGUCCGUCAGCAGGCCAAGCAGUUUGAGCAGAAGGUCAUCCAGGAUCAAACCCUCAGGCAGAGCAGAGACUCCCCCAGUUCUCUUCCAUCCAUCAUUUUCAGGAACAGAAACAGUGACUCUGUAGUAGAGAGGUUCAGCUCCAGUAUCGGCAACUUCAUGGCACUUCAACCUUGUCAGAUCACGGUGGAAAUGAUCCCAGACCCACCAGAGGAUCCUCCGCCUCCCCCUCCAGAACGGCCACCUCCCUCCUCCCCAAAAACAUCCCCUCCUUAUAGUCUGCCAUCUACCCCUCCUUUACCCUCCCAUCUCCACAAACCCGAGUGCCCCCUUCAGCCGCCUCCUGGAUCCAGCAGCCAGGGGUCCCCCCCAACACCACCACCGCUCCCCCCACCACUCUCCCCAGCGAGCAAUCAGCUGUGCCAGCUUCUCCAGUUUGUUCCAGCAUCUCUGCCGCCGGUGUCCUCACUGCGUCCCGUCUCGCAGCGAAAACACCCCCCUCCUCCUGAGUCAUCUCAAACUGACUGUGGGAGGAAAAAGGAGCUCAAAGGGAUCCUGAAAAACAUCCAGAAUCUCGCUGACAUAGAGAGGUCCAUUGCCAACAUGUACAGCCAAGUAGACAAAAACUACAAGGUGCCCAAGCUUCAUCCUAAACCACAAGUGACUGAAGAAUCCGAAGACACCGAAAGUACUCAAAGAUACAGCCCCUUUGUGCAGAAUCCAAAUAUGGCAACAGGAAUAAUGUGUAAUUUUAGAUGA
This 5530-nucleotide long non-coding RNA is filed under the name Takifugu rubripes (torafugu). Its description in RNAcentral is "lncRNA (ENSTRUG00000010819.3)". Lineage: Eukaryota; Metazoa; Chordata; Actinopteri; Tetraodontiformes; Tetraodontidae. The record is from RNAcentral.